Molecule: ribosomal RNA, 778 nt
Filed under: Bacillus subtilis
Lineage: Bacteria; Bacillati; Bacillota; Bacilli; Caryophanales; Bacillaceae
Description: bacterial SSU rRNA
Rfam family: Bacterial small subunit ribosomal RNA
Source: RNAcentral
GAUUUUUUUUUCUCAUGCUCAGGACGAACGCUGGCGGCGUGCCUAAUACAUGCAAGUCGAGCGGACAGAUGGGAGCUUGCUCCCUGAUGUUAGCGGCGGACGGGUGAGUAACACGUGGGUAACCUGCCUGUAAGACUGGGAUAACUCCGGGAAACCGGGGCUAAUACCGGAUGGUUGUUUGAACCGCAUGGUUCAAACAUAAAAGGUGGCUUCGGCUACCACUUACAGAUGGACCCGCGGCGCAUUAGCUAGUUGGUGAGGUAAUGGCUCACCAAGGCAACGAUGCGUAGCCGACCUGAGAGGGUGAUCGGCCACACUGGGACUGAGACACGGCCCAGACUCCUACGGGAGGCAGCAGUAGGGAAUCUUCCGCAAUGGACGAAAGUCUGACGGAGCAACGCCGCGUGAGUGAUGAAGGUUUUCGGAUCGUAAAGCUCUGUUGUUAGGGAAGAACAAGUACCGUUCGAAUAGGGCGGUACCUUGACGGUACCUAACCAGAAAGCCACGGCUAACUACGUGCCAGCAGCCGCGGUAAUACGUAGGUGGCAAGCGUUGUCCGGAAUUAUUGGGCGUAAAGGGCUCGCAGGCGGUUUCUUAAGUCUGAUGUGAAAGCCCCCGGCUCAACCGGGGAGGGUCAUUGGAAACUGGGGAACUUGAGUGCAGAAGAGGAGAGUGGAAUUCCACGUGUAGCGGUGAAAUGCGUAGAGAUGUGGAGGAACACCAGUGGCGAAGGCGACUCUCUGGUCUGUAACUGACGCUGAGGAGCGAAAGCGGACGG